This 2367-nucleotide long non-coding RNA is filed under the name Homo sapiens (human). RNAcentral's name for it is "HSALNT0346763". Lineage: Eukaryota; Metazoa; Chordata; Mammalia; Primates; Hominidae. The record is from RNAcentral.
AGGGGCCCAGGCGACUGGGGGAUUCUGAGGCAACGCCGAGGGCUCGGCAGGGCCGCGGACACCGCCGCGGCUUGGUUUGUUAUUGUCGACUCCGUCUCUUCCUCCGCGGCGCAUGCCGGGAAACGGCCUGCCGGGGGAGGGGCGCGCCUGGAGGCGCAGAGAGGCGUCUACGCAGGUCCGGAAGUCGGCAGCCUGCCGGGAAGGGGGCGGCCCCGCCUCCGGCUCUCCGGCCGGCAGGUUGGCUGUCCUGGCCUGACCCUGGGAGACUCCGCUGGGGCCGCCUGUUAUGGUGCUAGCUGCCGUCCCGGUGCGUACUUUCCCAAGGUGAAUUUGACCUUCUUUGCGACAGCUAGGCCCUGACUAAGGUCGACCCACCAAACACUGGAUCGUCCCCAGGCGAAAGAGAGCUUGUUCCCCUCAGCCUGUCGCGGAGGAGCGGAGCCAAUCGAGGGUCUGGUGUCCCCGUCGCCUCUCCAGGGGCAACCUGCGGACUAGGCCAAGGUCUGUAACAGGAUAACGUACCAGCGCCUGGCCCAGGCGUUCCUGCCGCCACCUCCCCGCAUAUCCGGACCGCCGGGACUGCACGCAGCUGGCAAGCGUCCCCCUGUUAACUCUGCAAGGGUGGGGCGGCACCAUUUCUCAGACCAGGGCAGACCAGAACAGUGGGUGAUUUUCCUCCUGCCAUUUUCUUGGGACAGUGAAAAGUGGAGAAGAGAAUGUUUAAAUUGUUGCCUGCUGGGGACACAUCGCACUCCUCAAUUUGGGUGGUGCCAACCGCUGUUGGAAUUAGUUAUCUAGCUGAAAUUUUGUCUUUCAAAGGACUAGUGCAUCACUCUGCUGCAAAGCUUGGAAAAGCUCUGAUAGCCUCAAGUCUCUGCUCUGCUUUUGUGGUGGAGCCUUGGACAGACGUGGAAUUAAGGAUCCCGUCCAGGAUCCCACAUUCCAUGUAGUCACUGCCUCCUUAGGCUCCUCCUGGCUGUGACAGUUUCUCAGAUUUCCCUUGUUUCUAAUGAUUGUGGCAGUUUUGAAGAGCACCGGUCAGGUUGAUUUUAGUGCAUUUGAGCUACAAUCAUAUUUUAUUAUCUGGAAAAUGCCUCGAAGACAUCUGUGGAUCUACAAACUUCCAGGGCUACUCUCUGCAUACAAAGGAGGCAUGAACAGGCCUUUCUACUCAGAAGUGGACUAAGGUUCCCUCCACCUAAGGCAAACUGCCCGGGGCAACUGCCCAGCAUGGAAAGCUUUGGUCUUCACGGUCUUGACUUUUUACCAGCAUCUCUGAAGCCCCAAAGUCACAUAAGAAUUUAUUUGACUGAAAAUUAUUUAAGAACUUUAUGUGUUAAUUUUCCUUAUAAAGUGAAAGUUGAUCACUUUCUUUUCCCAUAUGUCCUUUGCCCAGACACAACUUAUUGUUACUCUGUUUUCAAUAUCGAAGCAAGAAAUGGAAUUCAUUGUGAGCCUGCCCCAGUGCUAUUCAGACUCAUUCUAUCCAGGGAGCAACUUCACUCCAUAAUUUGUGUAGAUACAGUUACUUACCUACCCACUCUCUAGUACAUAACUCCCCAUACACACCCACGGACUUCUUCCCCUAGGGAACUAGUCAGUGGUGUGUCUCCCUUUACCAGGCAAGUGCAUGAAAUCAGUGCAUGAUGUGCUGGUCAAUGUGGUGAUCUUUUCCCCUCUUUUAACCUGGGGAAGAGAGUUUAUGGCAGAAACCACAGCUUUAAUCCACACAUCUUUGUGUACCAACCUCAGUGUUCUACAAGGCAGAGAAGAGAAUGGGUCCAGCGAUUCCUCCUGAGCAGUUGUCACGGAAAUCUCUUGCUCUCCUUUGGGAAGAUGAGUUUUACUCUCAAUGAUGCAUUGAUACUCACCAUUAUUACAAGGACUAGUGAACAAGAACUUGUUAUGUGCCAGCACUGUGCUAUGCUUCACUCAAGCCAGUUAAUUCCUGCACUCUCCUGCAUUACUGAAUGAUUUUUCUUUUCUUCUGAAUGGUAGUUUUUAAAUGUAGGACUACUGUUUCUUCAUCAUUUGAGUUUGGGAAUUAGGCCUCAAAUGAGGCAGCUUAUGAAAUCUGCUUUGGAGGUCAGGGGUCUUCUCCAUAGUGGAAAACAUCUACCUGACCCUUUUUAGGCCCCAAACUCCUCUCCAGGGUGUAGUGAAUGCAUGGCACUGGCAUCCCUCCUGUAAAUGGAGGGGCUUAGAUCUCUGGAGGAAACUUCUGGGCUAGUAUGUGGCUACCACGAGAAUGGCUACAAGUGGGAAUAAAAGGGCUUUGAUCACCUUAGUCUUGAGUUCCAGGCAGUUUUUCUGGGCCAUGUCACUGAUCAAGCAUGGUGACAUCAAAGUAAGGUAUUUUCCUUUUUU